This 373-nucleotide long non-coding RNA is filed under the name Eucalyptus grandis. RNAcentral's name for it is "long non-coding RNA (EGRA_LNC007005)". Lineage: Eukaryota; Viridiplantae; Streptophyta; Magnoliopsida; Myrtales; Myrtaceae. The record is from RNAcentral.
UAUGAGGUAAGUCCUGCAAUUUAUUCAUCGCUUUCUUGGGUGUUAAAUUGGUGGUUUGCGCAUCCGCAUGAUCACCUCACAUGUUAGGAUGAUAAAUUAAAAUCAAUUCAAGCUGCCUGCAAAAUAUUUUUUCAAAUAAAAAAGAAAUGGUACCGAAAGGGCAUUAGAGAAAUCUAGUGUAACCAAGUCCCUGAACUCACAAUCUCUGGUUCGUAGGAGUGAAGUAAUUCUCCCAUUACUUUACUUGGGUUUCUAAUCGACCCACCAAAAAUAGAUUAGUGGCGACUCCAUGAUAAACAUCAUUUGCAUAUUAAGAACUUGAACCUAAGUCGCGAAUUGGUAUGGGCUUGGGAGAGCCCGAGUUAAGUCUAGG